This 228-nucleotide ribosomal RNA is filed under the name uncultured bacterium. RNAcentral describes it as "partial 16S ribosomal RNA". It matches the Rfam family "Bacterial small subunit ribosomal RNA", at positions 103 to 334 of the family's 1533-position model. The record is from RNAcentral.
CGGGUGAGUAAUACAUCGGAACGUGUCUUCUAGUGGGGGAUAACUGCCCGAAAGGGCAGCUAAUACCGCAUGAGACCUGAGGGUGAAAGCGGGGGAUCGCAAGACCUCGCGCUGGAAGAGCGGCAGAUGUCCGAUUAGCUAGUUGGUGAGGUAAAGGCUCACCAAGGCGACGAUCGGUAGCCGGUCUGAGAGGACGACCAGCCACACUGGGACUGAGACACGGCCCAG